AACGAACGCUGGCGGCAUGCCUAACACAUGCAAGUCGAACGAGAUCUUCGGGUCUAGUGGCGCACGGGUGCGUAACGCGUGGGAAUCUGCCCUUUGGUUCGGAACAACAGUUGGAAACGACUGCUAAUACCGGAUGACGACGAAAGUCCAAAGAUUUAUCGCCAGAGGAUGAGCCCGCGUAGGAUUAGCUAGUUGGUGUGGUAAAGGCGCACCAAGGCGACGAUCCUUAGCUGGUCUGAGAGGAUGAUCAGCCACACUGGGACUGAGACACGGCCCAGACUCCUACGGGAGGCAGCAGUGGGGAAUAUUGGACAAUGGGCGAAAGCCUGAUCCAGCAAUGCCGCGUGAGUGAUGAAGGCCUUAGGGUUGUAAAGCUCUUUUACCCGGGAUGAUAAUGACAGUACCGGGAGAAUAAGCUCCGGCUAACUCCGUGCCAACCGCCGCAGUAA
This 449-nucleotide ribosomal RNA is filed under the name uncultured bacterium. RNAcentral describes it as "partial 16S ribosomal RNA". It matches the Rfam family "Bacterial small subunit ribosomal RNA", at positions 29 to 523 of the family's 1533-position model. The record is from RNAcentral.